AUUAAACGCUGGCGGCAUGCCUUACACAUGCAAGUCGAACGGCAGCACGGGGUUUACCCUGGUGGCGAGUGGCGAACGGGUGAGUAAAGCAUCGGAACGUGCCCUGGAGUGGGGGAUAACGUAGCGAAAGUUACGCUAAUACCGCAUAUUCUGUGAGCAGGAAAGCAGGGGAUCGCAAGACCUUGCGCUCUGGGAGCGGCCGAUGUCGGAUUAGCUAGUUGGUGGGGUAAAGGCCUACCAAGGCGACGAUCCGUAGCGGGUCUGAGAGGAUGAUCCGCCACACUGGGACUGAGACACGGCCCAGACUCCUACGGGAGGCAGCAGUGGGGAAUUUUGGACAAUGGGCGCAAGCCUGAUCCAGCCAUGCCGCGUGAGUGAAGAAGGCCUUC
RNAcentral lists this ribosomal RNA (389 nucleotides) under uncultured bacterium. RNAcentral describes it as "bacterial SSU rRNA". It matches the Rfam family "Bacterial small subunit ribosomal RNA", at positions 30 to 419 of the family's 1533-position model. The record is from RNAcentral.